GGGGUGGGCAAGUUCUGGUGUCAGCCGCCGCGGUAAAACCAGCACCUCAAGUGGUCAGGAGGAUUAUUGGGCCUAAAGCAUCCGUAGCCUGCUCUGUAAGUUUUCGGUUAAAUCCAUGUGCUCAACGCAUGGGCUGCCGUAAAAUCUGCAUAGCUAGGGAUUGCGAGAGAGUGACGGUACUCGGUAGGAAGGGGUAAAAUCCUUUGAUCUAUCGAUGACCACCUGUGGCGAAGGCGGUCUACCAGAACACGUUCGACGGUGAGGGAUGAAAGCUGGGGGAGCAAACCGGAUUAGAUACCCGGGUAGUCCCAGCUGUAAACGAUGCAGACUCGAUGAUGCAAUGGCAUAGAGCUAUUGCAGUGUCGCAGGGAAGCCGUUAAGUCUGCCGCCUGGGAAGUACGUACGCAAGUAUGAAACUUAAAGGAAUUGGCGGGGGAGCACCACAAGGGGUGAAGCCUGCGGUUCAAUUGGA
This 472-nucleotide ribosomal RNA is filed under the name uncultured marine archaeon. Its description in RNAcentral is "bacterial SSU rRNA". It matches the Rfam family "Archaeal small subunit ribosomal RNA", at positions 439 to 910 of the family's 1478-position model. The record is from RNAcentral.